RNAcentral lists this unclassified non-coding RNA (593 nucleotides) under uncultured Rozellomycota. Its description in RNAcentral is "uncultured Cryptomycota sequence contains ITS1, 5.8S rRNA gene, ITS2". The stretch from base 196 to 349 matches the Rfam family "5.8S ribosomal RNA". Lineage: Eukaryota; Fungi; Rozellomycota. The record is from RNAcentral.
ACAAAUCGGUUAUAGGACGCGAGUCCUAUAUACACCCCAAAGGCCUAACAGCAGGAUAUCACGGUUGUGGUGGAAUGCUGGGGGGGCCUUUUGGUUGCAGUCCGCGAGGGCUGUAGGCACGGGUCUGCUUUGCGGCGGCCUAGCCACAUAGACGCUUGUAUGGUUUGACAGAGUAUAGUUGGAUUUAAAAAAUACAACUUUUAACAAUGGAUCUCUUGGCUCUUGCAACGAUGAAGAACGCAGUGAAAUGCGAAAAGUAAUGCGAUUUGCAUGAAUCUGUGAGUCAUCAAGUCUUUGAACGCACCUUGCACCAUGUGAGCAAUUGUAUGGUAUACCUGUUUGAGAAUCGUAAAAACCUCUUUCCACCGCAAGGCGGGAGAUUUGUCGGUUGUGCCCCUCACGGCGGUACUCUGAUCAAAAGCAGUAGGUCCGGAUCAGGCUAGUGGCCUGGGACAUUGUGUGCUAGAGACGUUGGCCUUGUGCCUGCAGUCUUCUCACAGUGCGUCCUAGGCCAUCAAGCUAACCUGGUCAAUCGGGUCUGUACAGUGAGUGAGCCUUGGCCUAACGGCUGGUGCUCAUGACCAACCCCCACU